This 305-nucleotide ribosomal RNA is filed under the name uncultured bacterium. RNAcentral describes it as "bacterial SSU rRNA". It matches the Rfam family "Bacterial small subunit ribosomal RNA", at positions 334 to 656 of the family's 1533-position model. The record is from RNAcentral.
UUUACCUACGGGAGGCAGCAGUGGGGGAUAUUGCACAAUGGGGGAAACCCUGAUGCAGCGACGCCGCGUGGGUGAAGAAGCGCCUCGGCGCGUAAAACCCUGUCAGCAGGGAAGAAAAUGACGGUACCUGAAGAAGAAGCCCCGGCUAACUACGUGCCAGCAGCCGCGGUAAUACGUAGGGGGCAAGCGUUAUCCGGAUUUACUGGGUGAAAAGGGAGCGCAGACGGCGAUGCAAGCCAGGAGUGAAAGCGCGGGGCCCAACCCCGGGACAGCUCUUGGAACUGCGCGGCUAGAGUGCAGGAGGG